RNAcentral lists this long non-coding RNA (1725 nucleotides) under Monodelphis domestica (gray short-tailed opossum). RNAcentral describes it as "lncRNA (ENSMODG00000047125.1)". Lineage: Eukaryota; Metazoa; Chordata; Mammalia; Didelphimorphia; Didelphidae. The record is from RNAcentral.
GUUGUCUUGGAGCUCCUGUGAUGUCACCAGUUGUUGAAAUCAUCCCUGACUUAUUCAGAGACAUGGGCUAGAAACUUCAGUCCAGUCUUGUGUCUGCCAGGGGUCAAAGCUUGGGCACUGAGCAGGCCCAAAGUGAGGCUCGUUUCCCCGACUUACCAGCUAAGGGGGUAAUGUCACCAAGAGCCUGAGCCCUGGGGCCUAAAAGCUGCCUUAUAUCUGUACAUCAUUCACUCACGCCUCUAAGCUGCUGCUUCAAGACCAAUCGAGUGAAUAUUUGAAUACCAUUCUCACACUGCACUACAACCAGCAACCAUGGUGAAUUACCUUCCUGUUCCUGUGGUCCGUUUCUUCAUCUUGCGGCGUUCCAGCCAGUCAGGCCAGGGACUGAUUCUCAUCGUGAGCAGGAAAGUAGUCCCUACCCAGCAGGCCCUGUGGCGAAUGCUGCGUAUGGCAAGAUCUCGUUACCAAAGCUUUGUUCCACCCUUCCCCUGGGCCCGUGGUUACACCUUGAGGCUACUAAGACAUCCAAGGCCACUUAUUAUGGCCUUGUCAUCUUCCAGCAGGAAAGUAGCUAUGAGGCAUUCCUGAGGGCCAUUUUACAGCAGCUAUUUUUCACUGUGUUCCUGAGUUACCUGAACAGACUCCGCAUUGUUGUAUACCAGGGGUCAUGGACCACCAGAGGCUUUAUUCUCUUGGCAAGUGCCAGACUACGUUUGAAUUCCAGCUGCAUUACAGUCAUCUUUGAAGCCUGCAUUACCAUCCGACCCUGCAGAAGCACUCCUCUGAGACCACGCUUCUGGAGACUGGGCUCAUUCAUUUUAGAAUUUGUUAGCCUCCGCUUCUUGGCAGUUUACGUGAACACCGGAACAAGUCAAGAAUACUUGUGUCACCAUCACCAUAUUCUGUAUCUUUGCAGCUUGCCUCUUCAAUCAGAUCAGAAAAUAAAGAGGCCCAAUGUGGCACACACAGCUCAAAGAAUAUUCUUGUGGUGGUGUCAUUUCUUAAUGAGUGUAAUUUAAUACCUAACUAUCCUUUUAAUUCCAACUCAAUAUGUUUAAGGUAGGAUUAUAUAGUUAAGGUAUGGAAUGCAGCUGUGUAUUAGAGCAACAGUUGAACUAAUGAAGGGGGUGGAGUCAUAAUUGAGGCAUUCAUAUGUAUUGGCGUGUGUGUGUGUGUGUGUGUGUGUGUGUGUGUGAGAGAGAGAGAGAGAGAGAGAGAGAGAGAGAGAGAGACAGAAGAGUAUUGGAAUUAAUAUGAAUGAGAUUUUGUUGGAGAAAAAAAGAGAAUGAGGGCUUGAGGACAGAUCCUUAAGGAAAUGAUACCUACCCCUGUCCCAAAUCAAGGAAAUGAGGAACCAGUGACUAUUUAGAGGAGGUGGUCUCUCUCUACCUAGGUCUCCCCCAUAUUUAAAAUGUCUCUGUUGACUUUUACCAUCCCCUCACCCUCAGUCAAGCUGCUCUAACUAGGUAGGUUGUGGGUUUCUCUCUAUACUGUUAUCUUUUCUCCCCUUUGCAGCCCAAAUCCUUGGAAUUAGAGGUGGAAAGCAGAAACAACCUUUUAGAACUCUUUUGCCUCACCUUCUUCAUUUUCUGCUUACUAGCCAGGGGACACUUAACCUUCCUCUGAGCCUCAGACACCUUUCUUGAGACUAAAUUAUAGCCUCUGUUAUGCUUUUCCCUUGCCAUAAUGAUGAAUGCUAACUAUUCACGUUGGUGGAGCAUAAAG